Molecule: transfer RNA, 78 nt
Filed under: marine sediment metagenome
Description: tRNA-Pro
Rfam family: tRNA
About the family: Transfer RNA (tRNA) molecules are approximately 80 nucleotides in length. Their secondary structure includes four short double-helical elements and three loops (D, anti-codon, and T loops).
Source: RNAcentral
CUGGACGUAGGGCAGUUUGGUUGACCCACUCGGUUCGGGGCCGAGAUCACGCUGGUUCAAAUCCAGUCGUCCAGACCA